RNAcentral lists this small nucleolar RNA (76 nucleotides) under Gigantopelta aegis. Lineage: Eukaryota; Metazoa; Mollusca; Gastropoda; Neomphalida; Peltospiridae. The record is from RNAcentral.
UGUCCUAUGUGAUGAUUGAAUACCGCCCCAGUCUGAUUUUAUUCAUGACUGAUUGGUACAUGUAGUCUGAAUGACA